Molecule: ribosomal RNA, 468 nt
Filed under: uncultured bacterium
Lineage: Bacteria
Description: partial 16S ribosomal RNA
Rfam family: Bacterial small subunit ribosomal RNA
Source: RNAcentral
GACGAACGCUGGCGGCGUGCUUAACACAUGCAAGUCGAACGGAAAGGCCCUGCUUUUGUGGUGUGCUCGAGUGUCGAACGGGUGAGUAACACGUGUGUAACCUGCCCUUGACUUUGGGAUAACUUCAGGAAACUGGUGCUAAUACCGGCUAGGAGCUCCUGCUGCCUGGUUGGCUUUGUAAAGUUUCGGCGGUUGCGGCUGGCCUCGCGGCUUAUCAGCUUGUUGGUGGGGUAGUGGCUUACCAAGGCCUUGACGGGUAGCCGGACUGGGAGGGUGACCGGCCACAGUGGGCCUGGGGUAGGGGCCGGAGGGCAUCGGGGGGAAGGGGUGGGAGAAAGUGCACGAAAGGCGGAAGGCGGGAGGAAGGAAGCCGGGUGGGGGAGGACGGCCGUAAGGGUGGAAACCGUGUGAGCGUGGGAAGAAGACAGAGUGACGGUAAUGGAUAAAGAAGCACCGGCUAACUACGUG